UACGGAGGGUGCGAACGUUGUUCGGAAUCACUGGGCGUAAAGCGCGUGUAGGCGGCACGGUAAGUCAGAUGUGAAAGCCCUCGGCUCAACCGGGGAAGUGCAUUUGAGACUGCCGAGCUAGAGUACGGGAGAGGGUUGUAGAAUUCCUGGUGUAGAGGUGAAAUUCGUAGAUAUCAGGAGGAAUACCAGUGGCGAAGGCGGCAACCUGGACCGAUACUGACGCUGAGACGCGAAAGCGUGGGGAGCAAACAGG
Molecule: ribosomal RNA, 253 nt
Filed under: uncultured bacterium
Lineage: Bacteria
Description: partial 16S ribosomal RNA
Rfam family: Bacterial small subunit ribosomal RNA
Source: RNAcentral